Molecule: long non-coding RNA, 1948 nt
Filed under: Nicotiana tabacum (common tobacco)
Lineage: Eukaryota; Viridiplantae; Streptophyta; Magnoliopsida; Solanales; Solanaceae
Description: long non-coding RNA (NTAB_LNC013237)
Source: RNAcentral
AGAGAACAAAGCUUUUAAUAUUGCAUAGCUCAUGUCUUAAACACUUAUCAAACGGCCCAUUAGGACAACUCAAAGAAUACCAUUGAGAUAUAGGAAAUUGAACCAAAGGUUAUGAUAACCAAGAGAAUAAAUAACUACAGGUGUUGAAUGAAUUGGCUUCCAAGAUUUACUACAAGGCAACAACUAAGAAUAAGCUUCUGGCAUCACAUUCAAUGGAUUAUUAAGCAAUUCUUCACAUUUUUCUUGCAAGCAUAUAUGCUACUAUAUUAAAGAACUCCAUAAAAUUAAGCUAACAAAGAGACAAAUCUACAGGAGCACUUUACUAAUCCAUUAUUUGUUCAGCUUAGGUGCUAAUAAUUGGAUUUGCAUUUGAUAGUUAGUAAAAAAGGGAUAUUUUCAGCAUUUAGAUGGGUACAAAGCUGCAGUAUUUUAAAUCAUGUUCAGAAGCCGGCACAUUGCUAUUGUUGUGGGAUUAUAUCAUACCAUAUGUAAGUCCAAGAUGUUGAAAUCAGAUAAUUAACUCAAAAAUGUAAACAAAAGGAAAAUGAUUUUUGCUAAGAUUAAGAGAAAAAGUUGCAACCUCCAUAUCAAAUGCAUGAGCAUGCUCCUCCUUAUUACAGAAAAGACAACUUUGUGUACACCUUAGUUUUGAACCUCUUUUAACUUGAAAACAAAAAUGUCAAUCCAAUAUAAAAAAUUCAUCUCUACAGUCUACAAUUCAGACAUUAACAUGGCUCCAAGAUAAACAGAUCUAGCAAAUAUGACUCUGGUGAAAUUUAGAUUAUUUUCUGACCAACUAGCCUUUAAAUCAAAACAUGAUUUUUCUGCACAAGAAAGAAACACAAUAGUAAAUCAAAGAAGUACUAAAGUAAGAUCACAACCUGAAAGGGAAAGAAGCUAAAUCUCCGUGAGACAAACAAAAAUCACAAGAAUCUUUGGGCAAACAAAACCAUCAAACGGCUUAGACAGCAACAUGGUCGAACUAAAAUCCUAUUUUUUGUUGUUAACCCAUAUCACAAACAAAUACCAAGAUGAGCACAUAAAAAUCAAAACACUAGAAACAUACAAAGCUAAGCAUGAUUAUAGAAUUAACAGUUCCAAAUCUUCACUUAUACGCUCAAAAGAGUACAAAGGGAAUUCGACAUACCUAGUAGCAGAAAAAUUACCCCAAUAAAGUCUAGAGCUGGAAAUGAAGGAGCACAGGUAUAAUUUGACAGCACAAACACCAAAAAAAUCAGCGGACUAACGAACAGCAAUUCCAACAAUUUAGAGAACCAGAAAUCAAGAGAAAGAACCAAGGCUAAAAGAACCUCUGUUUUAGUGACAUCUUUUUCUGAUUUUUAUCUUAAACAUUAAAUAAACUCGAAUAAAACAUGAACUCAAACAAUUUUCCUUUUUUCGUAUGUUUUUCUGGAAAGAAAAAAGAAGCAGACUAAAAGAAAUGGCUUGAAGAAGGUGACAACUCUUAGAACCCUAGAAUUUUUCCUAGAUUUUUCCUCUUAUUUUUUCUUCGAUUUUUUCUCUGAUCUUUUUCCUCACCUAGCAAACAGAACUUACCUCAUAUAUAUAGCCUUCAAAAAAUCUUCAAGUUUUUGCCAAAAAUCCAAAAAUCUUCAGGUUUUCUGAACAAUAUUUGGGGCAAAUAGAAGGCAUGGAUCGAUUUACAUCUAUCCACGGCUCCCAUUCAUCCAGCAAAUCGUCUUUUCGUACCAAAAAUCGUGCGAUUUUGAGAGAAUAUUCGUAUUCUUUUUGAUAAAAACCGUUGGGAAUCAAAUGACGUGGAGGGGAAGGGUCCCAUUUGAGCAAACUCGCCUGAGUUCCAGACGAGUUGAGGGCCGAGUCGAGGAGGAAUAAGGUGAACAAUAGACAAGAGCGUCAUUUUCUAAUUUUCCUAGGUCUAGGGUUUGAUUAGGGAAAUAUAAUAAGAGAGAUUUUAUAUGGAAGGGAA